UACGUAGGUGGCAAGCGUUGUCCGGAUUUAUUGGGUUUAAAGGGUGCGUAGGCGGUCUAUUAAGUCAGUGCUGAAAUAUCCCGGCUUAACCGGGAGGGUGGCAUUGAUACUGAUGGACUUGAGUGCAGUCGAGGUAGGCGGAAUUGACGGUGUAGCGGUGAAAUGCUUAGAUAUCGUCAAGAACACCGAUAGGGAAGGCAGCUUACUAGACUGGAACUGACGCUGAGGCACGAAAGUGUGGGGAUCAAACAGG
RNAcentral lists this ribosomal RNA (253 nucleotides) under uncultured bacterium. RNAcentral describes it as "partial 16S ribosomal RNA". It matches the Rfam family "Bacterial small subunit ribosomal RNA", at positions 524 to 776 of the family's 1533-position model. The record is from RNAcentral.